Molecule: transfer RNA, 77 nt
Filed under: Candidatus Mycoplasma haematobovis
Lineage: Bacteria; Bacillati; Mycoplasmatota; Mollicutes; Mycoplasmatales; Mycoplasmataceae
Also listed under: 4 other names
Description: Candidatus Mycoplasma haemobos tRNA-Glu
Rfam family: tRNA
About the family: Transfer RNA (tRNA) molecules are approximately 80 nucleotides in length. Their secondary structure includes four short double-helical elements and three loops (D, anti-codon, and T loops). Further hydrogen bonds mediate the characteristic L-shaped molecular structure. tRNAs have two regions of fundamental functional importance: the anti-codon, which is responsible for specific mRNA codon recognition, and the 3' end, to which the tRNAs corresponding amino acid is attached (by aminoacyl-tRNA synthetases). tRNAs cope with the degeneracy of the genetic code in two manners: having more than one tRNA (with a specific anti-codon) for a particular amino acid; and 'wobble' base-pairing, i.e. permitting non-standard base-pairing at the 3rd anti-codon position.
Source: RNAcentral
GGUCUGUUGGUGAAGUGAACGAACACACAUGCCUUUCACGCAUGCAUUCACGGGUUUGAAUCCCGUACAGAUCGCCA